GGGCUAUCAACAAUCCUACUAGUAGCUCUCAAGGUGCAAGGGCACAUAAAAGAUCUAGAAUUGCCCUUGGAGAGCAAUUUCACUCCUCCCAAUUAGUCCAAACACUUUUAGGAGUGGUGCAAGAGUAAAUUGCUACACAAACUGAUAUGAGAAAGAUGAUAGAACUAUAGAAUCAAUGGCGCAAUAAUUUAUGCAACAACAAAGGCAGCAUCA
This 213-nucleotide long non-coding RNA is filed under the name Elaeis guineensis (African oil palm). Its description in RNAcentral is "long non-coding RNA (EGUI_LNC024399)". Lineage: Eukaryota; Viridiplantae; Streptophyta; Magnoliopsida; Arecales; Arecaceae. The record is from RNAcentral.